AUGGCCUCGCCGGCGCCGGUUCCGGCCUCGCCGGGGUCCUCCUCUCAGAAAAAACGAGGUGCAACGGAAUCAAUUGGCCUGUAUGCUGUCCAGUGUUGUGAAUGUCAUAAAUGGCGUACAGUUUCAACGAAAGAUGAAUUUGAGACAAUUCGUGAGAACUUCACUGAAGACCCAUGGUUCUGCAGUAAAAGACCUGAGUGCUCGUGUGAAGACCCUCCAGACAUUGAGUACGACAGCAGCCGCAUAUGGGUCAUCGACAAGCCCAACAUACCAAAGCCUCCGCCCAAGACCGAGAGACUUGUGAUCAUGAGAGGUGAUCUGUCUAAAAUGGACAUCUACUAUGUCCUGCCAAACGGGAAGCGUGCAAGGGGCAUCGGGGACGUGCAGAAGUUCCUUGACACAAACCCAGAGUACAAGGACCGCAUAUCAGCUGAAAGCUUCAGUUUUACGGUGCCCAAGAUUGUUGAGGAGACCGUUUCACAGAGCUCUUUGUGGAAGACUAAAAAGGCUAAAAAGCAGGACAAGAUAAAUGCUUCAAGCAGCAAGAAGGACAAGGCAAAUGCUUCAAGCAGUGAGAACUAG
This 582-nucleotide ribosomal RNA is filed under the name Triticum aestivum (bread wheat). RNAcentral's name for it is "partial small subunit ribosomal RNA". Lineage: Eukaryota; Viridiplantae; Streptophyta; Magnoliopsida; Poales; Poaceae. The record is from RNAcentral.